AUCUUCUUUGAGGUAUGCUUAAGGAGGGGCUUGCGACACAUUAGUUAGUUGGCAGGGUAAAGGCCUACCAAGACUAUGAUGUGUAGCUGGACUGAGAGGUUGAACAGCCACAUUGGGACUGAGACACGGCCCAAACUCCUACGGGAGGCAGCAGUAGGGAAUUUUCGGCAAUGGAGGAAACUCUGACCGAGCAACGCCGCGUGAACGAUGAAGUACCUCGGUAUGUAAAGUUCUUUUAUUAAGGAAGAAAAAAGAGUGGAAAAACUCCCUUGACGGUACUUAAUGAAUAAGCCCCGGCUAAUUAUGUGCCAGCAGCCGCGGUAAUACAUAAGGGGCGAGCGUUAUCCGGAAUUAUUGGGCGUAAAGGGUGCGUAGGCGGUUUAAUAAGUCUAUAGUUUAAUUUCAGUGCUUAACGCUGUUGUGCUAUAGAAACUGUUUUACUAGAGUGAGAUAGAGGCAAGCGGAAUUCCAUGUGUAGCGGUAAAAUGCGUAAAUAUAUGGAGGAACACCAGAGGCGUAGGCGGCUUGCUGGGUCUUUACUGACGCUGAGGCACGAAAGCGUGGGGAGCAAACAGGAUUAGAUACCCUGGUAGUCCACGCCGUAAACGAUGAGUACUAAGUGUCGGGUAAAACUGGUACUGAAGUUAACACAUUAAGUACUCCGCCUGAGUAGUACGUACGCAAGUAUGAAACUUAAAGGAAUUGACGGGACUCCGCACAAGCGGUGGAUCAUGUUGUUUAAUUCGAAGAUACAC
Molecule: ribosomal RNA, 755 nt
Filed under: Candidatus Phytoplasma pruni
Lineage: Bacteria; Bacillati; Mycoplasmatota; Mollicutes; Acholeplasmatales; Acholeplasmataceae
Description: bacterial SSU rRNA
Rfam family: Bacterial small subunit ribosomal RNA
Source: RNAcentral